RNAcentral lists this ribosomal RNA (252 nucleotides) under uncultured bacterium. Its description in RNAcentral is "partial 16S ribosomal RNA". It matches the Rfam family "Bacterial small subunit ribosomal RNA", at positions 525 to 776 of the family's 1533-position model. The record is from RNAcentral.
ACAGAGGUCUCAAGCGUUGUUCGGAUUCAUUGGGCGUAAAGGGUGCGUAGGCGGCGCGGUAAGUCGGGUGUGAAAUCUCGGAGCUUAACUUCGAAACUGCAUUCGAUACUGCCGUGCUUGAGGACUGGAGAGGAGACUGGAAUUUACGGUGUAGCGGUGAAAUGCGUAGAUAUCGUAAGGAAGACCAGUGGCGAAGGCGGGUCUCUGGACAGUUCCUGACGCUGAGGCACGAAGGCCAGGGGAGCAAACGGG